Molecule: ribosomal RNA, 576 nt
Filed under: Glaciozyma watsonii
Lineage: Eukaryota; Fungi; Basidiomycota; Microbotryomycetes; Kriegeriales; Camptobasidiaceae
Description: partial large subunit ribosomal RNA
Rfam family: Eukaryotic large subunit ribosomal RNA
Source: RNAcentral
GGCGAGUGAGCGGGAAGAGCUCAAAUUUGUAAUCUGGCCCUUUCAGGGUCCGAGUUGUAAUCUCGAGAAGUGUUUUCCGCGCCGGACCGCAUACAAGUCUGUUGGAAUACAGCGUCAUAGUGGUGAGAGCCCCGUAAUUGAUGUGGAUGCCCGGUGCUUUGUGAUACACUUUCGAAGAGUCGAGUUGUUUGGGAAUGCAGCUCAAAUUGGGUGGUAAAUUCCAUCUAAAGCUAAAUAUUGGCGAGAGACCGAUAGCGAACAAGUACCGUGAGGGAAAGAUGAAAAGCACUUUGGAAAGAGAGUUAACAGUACGUGAAAUUGUUGGAAGGGAAACGCUUGAAGUCAGACUUGCUAUUCGGAAUUCAGCCGCAAGGUGUACUUUUCGAUUUGCAGGCCAGCAUCAGUUUUUGGGGGUGGAAAAGGGUGGAGAGAAGGUAGCAACCUUGGUUGUGUUAUAGCUCUUUACUGGAUUCAUCUUUGGGGACUGAGGAUCGCAGUGCGCAAUUUACUUUGCAAACCUUUCGAGGUUUUCGUACUUAGGAUGCUGGUGGAAUGGCUUUAAACGACCCGUCUUGA